RNAcentral lists this ribosomal RNA (497 nucleotides) under uncultured bacterium. RNAcentral describes it as "partial 16S ribosomal RNA". It matches the Rfam family "Bacterial small subunit ribosomal RNA", at positions 28 to 507 of the family's 1533-position model. The record is from RNAcentral.
GACGAACGCUGGCGGCGUGCCUAAUACAUGCAAGUUGAGCGAUGAAGAUUGGUGCUUGCACCAAUUUGAAGAGCAGCGAGCGGGUGAGUAACGCGUGGGGAAUCUGCCUUUGAGCGGGGGACAACAUUUGGAAACGAAUGCUAAUACCGCAUAACAACUUUAAACAUAAGUUUUAAGUUUGAAAGAUGCAAUUGCAUCACUCAAAGAUGAUCCCGCGUUGUAUUAGCUAGUUGGUGAGGUAAAGGCUCACCAAGGCGAUGAUACAUAGCCGACCUGAGAGGGUGAUCGGCCACCUUGGGACUGAGACCCGGCCCCAACUCCUCCGGGAGGCAGCAGUAGGGAAUCUUCGGCAAUGGACGAAAGUCUGACCGAGCAACGCCGCGUGAGUGAAGAAGGUUUUCGGAUCGUAAAACUCUGUUGGUAGGGAAGAACGUUGGUGAGAGUGGAAAGCUCAUCAAGUGACGGUAACUACCCGGAAAGGGACGGCUAACUACGUG